UUCCAGUGCGUUUGACAUCUU
Molecule: non-coding RNA, 21 nt
Organism: Caenorhabditis elegans
Lineage: Eukaryota; Metazoa; Nematoda; Chromadorea; Rhabditida; Rhabditidae
Source: Ensembl